CUUGAACGUGGUCUCGAACGCCUGACCUCGUGAUCCACCCGCCUCGGUCUCCCAAAGUGCUGGGAUUACAGGCAUGAGCCACCAUGCCAGCCCAUAAUUUAUUGAUUUUUAAAAAUUUGUCCAGCCUUCUAUCACCACGUUAAAUCCAUUAGCUGCAACCAUCCCAUGAGAAGCUGAGUGGAUUCAGCCCCACCGCCUGCUCAGACUCUGUCUGAGCACCUCAGUGGUCCCAACAGCGUCACUGUAGGACCCCCAGGACGUUGGACUGGUAGCUCCUUGGGUCUCCUCCUCUUUGGGGCAGAUCCUCAGUCCUCCCUUGACUUCACAACUGUGGCCAGAUCAUGUGCGGACUGUCCCUCACUUUGGGUCUCCAGAGCACUUGCAUCAAACACCUCUAACUCAGAAGUGUGCAGCCACACUGGGACUCAGAACCCGAGAACAGGGACAGAAGACUCAGGCCCUUGGGGUGCCCGGUCUCGCAGCAUUGGGCAUGACUUCCAGCUCCUGCGCCUUUCCCAGCAGCUGCUGACUGGGGACCCAGACUAGGGGCUGAGCGACCGGCCCGGCGAGCGAAGCUCGGGGUCUCACUUAGGCACCAGCUCCUCCUUGCCCCGGGCCCUUGGCACAGGUAGCCCUAUUCAGGCAGGAGCUGCUCUUCUGGGGUAUCGCGAUCCACUUAAGGAUGAGGCAGACUUGGUGACAAGUCUGAGCAGGUAUGGGAGCCUCCUGGGGAGACGGAAGAAGGGAGGAAGUUGCCUUCUGCCUGGAGAGGGUUUGGGAGGGAGAGGGAAGCCUAGGGCUCCAGGCAAGGCUGAUGUUGACUGCCAGGGUUUGGGGCUGAAGCCAGGAACAGUCGCUCUCUCUGGUUCUUACUGGUAUCCCUCAUGGGGGUCCCUGACGCCAGAGCCUCCAAGGCUGCCUGUGCCAGCCCAGGGCUGCCCACAUGCCCACAUAUAUCCCAGAAUAGGCACCAGGGCAGGGAACCCAAACUAGCGUGAGUGACAGAGCAGGUGGUCAGGGAGAAACAGACAUCAAACCCAGCCAGGAGAGAGACACCGCAACAGAGAGACAGAGAAGGGAAACCAGAGACGAGAGGGAAAGUGGGACAGAGACAGGCAGAGCCUCAGAGAGGCAGGAAGUGAGCCCAAAGGGAAGGUGACAGGUUGAUGGAGAAAAGUAGGCAGAGCAGAGGAACUCAUGCCUCAGGACGCAAAAGCCACAUGGACAGGGCGUGGAGCAAGGGGCUGAGCCCUGUAAGGUCAGGUGAGUGUGAGCCAAAGAUAAACUGGGGGGGGGGGGGGCUCCAGCUGGUGAGAGAAACACAAAGGGCUCCCCAGUGGUGGCAGGGGCAUUGAAAGAGUCCCCAUCACAGGUUGCAACGGGGAUGAUUUGGCCAUAUCUGAGAUCUUUUUAAAUAUACACGCCCUUGUACCCAGCAAUUCACUGCCAGGAGUUUAUCUUAAAGAGAACAUUUCACAAGUGGGGAGACAGAGAUGAAUGAAGAUGUUCCUGUAGUUGCUAAUGGAGGUGAAAAGCACUGGGGUUUCUUGGAACAACAUGGUGAAACCCCAUCUCUCCAAACAAAUUUUAAAAAUUAGCUUGGUGGCGGGGCACGGUGGCUCACACCUGUAAUUCCAGCACUUUGGGAGGCUGAGGCGGGAGGAUCGCUUGAGGUCAGGAGUUCGAGACCAGCCUGGCCAACAUGGCGAAACCUGUCUCUACUAAAAGUACAAAAAUUAGCCAGGUGUGGUGGCACACACCUAUAAUCCUAGCUACUCGGGAGGCUGAGGCAGGAGAAUCACUUGAACCUGGGAGACGGAGGUUGCAGUGAGCUGAGAUUGAGCCACUGAACUCCAGCCUGGGAGAUAGAGUGAGACUGCAUCUCAAAAAAAGAAAAAAAAAAAAUUAGCUUGGUGUGGCAGCAUGUACCUGUAGUCCCAGCUACUCAGAAGGCUGAGGUGAGAGCAUCACUUGAGCCUGAAAGGUGGAGGUU
This is a long non-coding RNA of Piliocolobus tephrosceles (Ugandan red Colobus), 1993 nucleotides long. The record is from Ensembl. Lineage: Eukaryota; Metazoa; Chordata; Mammalia; Primates; Cercopithecidae.